Molecule: transfer RNA, 88 nt
Filed under: Colletotrichum phormii
Lineage: Eukaryota; Fungi; Ascomycota; Sordariomycetes; Glomerellales; Glomerellaceae
Description: tRNA-Asp
Rfam family: tRNA
About the family: Transfer RNA (tRNA) molecules are approximately 80 nucleotides in length. Their secondary structure includes four short double-helical elements and three loops (D, anti-codon, and T loops). Further hydrogen bonds mediate the characteristic L-shaped molecular structure. tRNAs have two regions of fundamental functional importance: the anti-codon, which is responsible for specific mRNA codon recognition, and the 3' end, to which the tRNAs corresponding amino acid is attached (by aminoacyl-tRNA synthetases). tRNAs cope with the degeneracy of the genetic code in two manners: having more than one tRNA (with a specific anti-codon) for a particular amino acid; and 'wobble' base-pairing, i.e. permitting non-standard base-pairing at the 3rd anti-codon position.
Source: RNAcentral
UCCCCGAUAGUCUAGUGGUGAGGAUAUCUGCUUGUCAUUGACCUUCGAAGAUACGCAGGGGACCGGGGUUCAAUUCCCCGUCGAGGAG